ACUGGGGCUAAGUCGUAACAAGGUAGCCGUACCGGAAGGUGCGGCUGGAACACCUCCUUU
Molecule: non-coding RNA, 60 nt
Filed under: Odoribacter splanchnicus
Lineage: Bacteria; Pseudomonadati; Bacteroidota; Bacteroidia; Bacteroidales; Odoribacteraceae
Also listed under: 2 other names
Description: partial 16S ribosomal RNA
Rfam family: Bacterial small subunit ribosomal RNA
Source: RNAcentral